RNAcentral lists this long non-coding RNA (461 nucleotides) under Mytilus galloprovincialis (Mediterranean mussel). Lineage: Eukaryota; Metazoa; Mollusca; Bivalvia; Mytilida; Mytilidae. The record is from RNAcentral.
CUUGUAUACAAACUUGGGUAAAACCAUAUAAUCAAGUAGCCACAAUAACACACACACACACACACAUUAUCUUCAAUCAAUGAAAAUUGGUACCCACGAAAUUAAAUGAAUCCACAGUAGAAAACAGUUUCUUUUGAGAACCAUCUUUAUAAACACAUCAUUUUGGUGUAAGUUGUAAAUUAUGUGAAAUUCUUGGAACAAAAACAAGUAUCAAGUAAAAUUUCAUGUUCUAACAUUAGAUAACAGCUAGAUAUUGUAAAAAUAUACAUUUCAUAUAAUCGUUCAUUAUAAUGAAAGUAUGCAAGGUGUUUCUUUCAAAUCAGGAAUGAUAAUUUAUUCUAUGCAAAUCAUAUUUCUGAAGUCAAAAUAUGUUGGUGCAAUUUGACAAAAUAGUAUAAAUAUAAAUAUUUGUAUAGUGCAUGCUUUAGAUCUUAGUUCAGUUCAAUGGUAUUUUAGCAUUU